Molecule: long non-coding RNA, 1408 nt
Filed under: Apteryx rowi (Okarito brown kiwi)
Lineage: Eukaryota; Metazoa; Chordata; Aves; Apterygiformes; Apterygidae
Description: lncRNA (ENSARWG00000013720.1)
Source: RNAcentral
UCCAAAAUGCCUGGACUGGACAGCUUGACAGCCAACAUAAAUUGAGACAGAAAAACCUGUCUUGACUUUUUAACUUAAACUGCCACARAAUGAAUUUGUGCACUACACUGUUUUAAAUUAUUGACAUUACACUGUGCUAUGGCACUUCAUUUAACUUAGAUAGGACAAAAAUGGUAUUGCCUAUUAGUUGGUAACUUGAUUAUGUGGUACCUUGGCUUUAGGUUUUAUUAGCAUGAGACACCUCUGGCAUGCCUAGCUUCCAGGUAACUCCCUACCUGCAUCAAAAUUCAUCUUGCAUAGUUCCACUGAACAUGAAGAUCCUUAUUUGAUAAGCCUUUGAAAGCUGACAUUCUUCUUCAUAAGAGAGUGUAUUUAAAUGGAUGUUCAUCAGUGAACAAUAGGUUAACUGACAAGUGGUUGGCCAAGGUUUUGAUGACAGCAUCUAACCAGGUGACUGCAUACAACUCGUGGGCAUAUAACCAAGCAUUCUUCUCAUUGCUUGUAUCAGAUGAUCAAAACUGAAGGAACCUCAAACCGUCUUGGACUGAACACUGAAAAACCAUGUGACAAGUGCUUUUCUUCCUGAUGGUGGCACAGUCCCUUUGACUUCCCAGAUGUUCACGCAUGGCGGCAUGUUGGGCUGCAAGGAAAUACUCAUUUUCAACCUAUGUUAUGAGAAGGCUGAAAUCUCUGGUGGCUGGAUAACCUAGCGGCAGGAGGCUGUUCACCUCAUGACAGCUGCUGACUAUGAGAGGCCCUGCAAUUGGUGUAUGUAUACAGUUCAAGAAGAUUUCUUGAAGAUCAGGGCAACAACCAGAUUUUGAGGUGGCGCAGAAGAUUUGUCCUUGCUACAGUGGUAUUGAACAGAUUUUUUUGGUGGGAGUGUACAGCCUCCUUUGCUAGUAAUAACUUUGAUUCAAUCCAGAUGAAUGUACUGCUUUCCUAUACAUGUUCUUAGAGGGGAGAGGCAUGUGAAGCUUCAGGUGGAAGUAGGGCAUUGGUCUCAGCUGUGUGGGGAGGGGCAGUGAAUGUUGCCAGUCUGAGCAGGAGGGUUGUUUUAGGCUUUUAAAAGCAGUUCUCCAGAGUUGUGAGCUGUAGGAGAAAUCUUCCAUGUGGCAAUUAUCUAUCUUGGAAACUGCCUGAUGAUUUCCUGCCCUGUGUGAGUACUUGACUCUGUCCCAGGAACUUUAGCAAGUCACACAGCCAGGAUGACAUGCUCAUGCAACCUUUUUAGGCUUCCAAGAGGCUAUACAGCCUCUUCCCCUCCACAAAUGCAGUAGGGUAUGAGCUAAUGGCACUACACACAGCCCCACAAGGAAUAACAAUGGCAAAUAUUGUUUGAGGUGUCAGUGUGCUUGGUAUGAAAGGCAGUUACAUGUUACAGUAAUGUUCUUCCCCUUUUCCCUCU